UACGUAAGUCCCAAGCGUUACCCGGAAUUAUUGGGUGUAAAGGGUUCGUAGGUGGAUUUAUAAGUCAGGUAUAAAAGACCGAAGCUCAACUUCGUGUUUGUGCUUGAAACUGUUAAUCUAGAAUCAGGGAGAGGUAAGCGGAAUUCUUAGUGUAGGGGUGCAAUCCGUAGAUACUAAGAAGAACACCAAAAGCGAAGGCAGCUUACUGGAACUGUAUUGACACUGAUGGACGAAAGCGUGGGUAGCGAACAGG
This 253-nucleotide ribosomal RNA is filed under the name uncultured bacterium. RNAcentral's name for it is "partial 16S ribosomal RNA". It matches the Rfam family "Bacterial small subunit ribosomal RNA", at positions 524 to 776 of the family's 1533-position model. The record is from RNAcentral.